Molecule: long non-coding RNA, 1726 nt
Organism: Amaranthus tricolor (Joseph's coat)
Lineage: Eukaryota; Viridiplantae; Streptophyta; Magnoliopsida; Caryophyllales; Amaranthaceae
Exons: 3
Source: RefSeq, a predicted model, not a curated record
CAGCACCAUGACGCGAGGAGAAAGGGGAAGAGGCUAGAGAGAGAGAGAGAGAGAGAGAGAGAGAGAGUAUCAUCUCUAGAAUUCUAAUCAUCCAUUUAAAGAAUUACACUUGAUUGUUUAGAUUCUUGCGAGUGGCGUGAAAAAUUUGACGCUGAUUCUGUGUAUUUUCCGGCAUUAUGACUCUUCUCCAUCGAUUUUUGGCAAUUUUAUCUAACGAUCAUUUGUUGAUGAACGAUGGCCUCGUACGUUGUGGAAUAGUAAGCCAUAUGGUUGUGUUCAUGAGUUUCUUUGGAGGAGUACGGGUGUGGUUUGUUUAUUGCCGCUUGUUAGAGUAGUAUGACAAUUAUCAAUGAAGAUACUCUACAAAGAUUGAAUAAAAGAAUAGACAAAAUUAAGAAAUAACACGCAAAUUUGAAAGGUAGGGAAAAUCCUAAUAUCAUUGUGAUAUAUUAGACUAUAAAACUCCACCCAAAACAAUUGAAUGAAUCUUAUUGGUUGAGAGUUUCUUGAUUACAUUGUAUAAUCCAAACUCUAAUUGAAAAACUCCCCAUAGUAUGUUCUAUGAAGAAUAGAAGAAACCCCAAAAUCCUCUCGCUAGAAACCCUAAUUUUAUUGUGGCACUUAGACUCUUAAUUCCCAAUUGAUUUGAUUAAUAUGAUCUUCCUUAACUAUAUACGGCUUUUUAACAAGAGAAAAAAAAAUGAUAUGCUAUUUGAAAUAUAACAUCUCGCGCUUAAAAACACAAGCCUUGACAUAUUUGCUUGAUUUGGUUGAGCGGUUUAAGUGAGGUCAAGCAGCUGGUCGAGCGAGAGAUCAGAAGAGAUCAGUAGCUUAACCAUUUUUGGUCAAGCGCCUUAACCUGGUCAACAUAUCUGCUGGAUUGUCACUUGUAUAAACCUUAUCCAAGAUCACCUUUUCCCUUUAAAUGGUGUCUCUAAUGUAGUGAAGCUUUAUCCAAGAUCACCUUCCAUAGACAUGGAUGAAGGCCGAGGAUCUGAUGUCGCUUGACCUAUGGCUCGAUCAAGUCAAGGCGCUCGACCAGGUCGACCAGAAAUGGUGAAGCUACUAAUCUCUUUUGAUCUCUGACUCACCAGCCGCUUGACCUCACUCAAAUCGCUCGACUGGGUCGAGCAGAUAUGUCGAGGCAUCUGUUUUUAUGCAUGGGCUAUUAUAUUUCAAAUAGCGUAUCAUUUCUGUUUUCUCUUGUUCCAAAGCCUAUAAAAAGGUUAUUGUGUAUCAUUCGUAUAGUUAAGGAAGAUCUUAUUGAUCAAAACAAUUGUGACUUAGGAGUCUGAGUGCCACAAUAAAAUUAGGGUUUUUAGUGAGAGGAUUUUGGGGUUUUCUUCUAUCCUUCAUAAAAGAUACGAAGUAGGGUUUUUCAAUUAGAGUUUGGAUUAUACACUGUAAUCAAGAAACUGAAUUAUUAAGAUUCAUUCAAUUGUUAUGGGUGGGGUUUUAUAGACUAAUAUCACAUAGAUAUUAGGAUUUUCCUCACCUUCCAAACUUGUGUGUUCUUUCUUAGUUUUGCAUAUUCUUUUAUUCAAUCUUUGUAGAGUAUCUUCGUUGAUAAUUUCCAUACUACUCUAACACAGCUCCCCCUAGACCCUGCUACUAUACGGAAUCAGGUAUGAUAGUAUGUUAUGGCAUGGUAUCUCUACCUUCUCGUUGAAAUACAUAGGCAGACUCAAUUUCUUUCUUCAACUUAUUUACACAUUUCUUUCAUCUA